This is a long non-coding RNA of Mus musculus (house mouse), 532 nucleotides long. RefSeq annotates it as predicted gene, 35803. Lineage: Eukaryota; Metazoa; Chordata; Mammalia; Rodentia; Muridae. The record is from RefSeq and is a predicted model, not a curated record. The transcript is spliced from 2 exons.
UCAUGCUUCUGCAUGAACCAGUGGUUCAACUACUGGUGACAGUCCCACUCCCCAAGGAGCGACAGGACAUCAGAAUUGACUACCAUUUCCCAAGCAUCCUGGCUCUGAAUAGAAAGCUGUUGAAAUUAGAAGAAUGGUUGAAGUUCAGAGAGAUCGAGGAGCUGGUGGGAAGAUAAUCACAGCCACGAAAUCUAAGCGUGUAGAGGACUCCACGCAGAAGGAAUUCCACGCCCCACUCCCUCGCUGAUCCCAGAGCUGCUCCUCUACCAGUAUCCAUCUAACCACAGCUCACAGUAUGAGUCAGAAAGUAACUGUCAACUAAACAGCAUUCCCUCUCAGAGUCACACGUAGUUAGAGCCACGGAGCACGUCAGCCACACGGGUAAGAUGCAUCUGCUAAGAAGCCAGAGCCGUGCAAGAGAAAACGUCCCACGAGCCUCCACACAUGGUAUUAUAAUUUCUCCUCAGUCUUGCUCGUCGCUGAUCUUAUAUGAUUUCAAUAUGUGCUUAAUAAAGAAAUGCAUUAAUGUCCA